Molecule: transfer RNA, 24 nt
Filed under: Piper regnellii
Lineage: Eukaryota; Viridiplantae; Streptophyta; Magnoliopsida; Piperales; Piperaceae
Description: partial tRNA-Leu
Source: RNAcentral
AAAAUCCGUCGACUUGAAAAAUCG